GUCUGCGCCGAUCUCGUCUGAUCUCCGAAGCUAAGCAGGGUCGGGCCUGGUUAGGACUUGUAUGGGAGACUGCUUGGGAAUACCAGGUGCUGUAAGCU
RNAcentral lists this ribosomal RNA (98 nucleotides) under Sinocyclocheilus grahami. The record is from RNAcentral. Lineage: Eukaryota; Metazoa; Chordata; Actinopteri; Cypriniformes; Cyprinidae.